This 498-nucleotide ribosomal RNA is filed under the name uncultured Leisingera sp. RNAcentral describes it as "bacterial SSU rRNA". It matches the Rfam family "Bacterial small subunit ribosomal RNA", at positions 35 to 582 of the family's 1533-position model. Lineage: Bacteria; Pseudomonadati; Pseudomonadota; Alphaproteobacteria; Rhodobacterales; Roseobacteraceae. The record is from RNAcentral.
GCUGGCGGCAGGCCUAACACAUGCAAGUCGAGCGCGCCUUCGGGUGAGCGGCGGACGGGUUAGUAACGCGUGGGAACGUGCCCUUCUCUACGGAAUAGCCUCUGGAAACGGAGAGUAAUACCGUAUACGCCCUUUGGGGGAAAGAUUUAUUGGAGAAGGAUCGGCCCGCGUUAGAUUAGGUAGUUGGUGGGGUAACGGCCUACCAAGCCUACGAUCUAUAGCUGGUUUUAGAGGAUGAUCAGCAACACUGGGACUGAGACACGGCCCAGACUCCUACGGGAGGCAGCAGUGGGGAAUCUUAGACAAUGGGGGCAACCCUGAUCUAGCCAUGCCGCGUGAGUGAUGAAGGCCUUAGGGUCGUAAAGCUCUUUCGCCUGUGAUGAUAAUGACAGUAGCAGGUAAAGAAACCCCGGCUACUCCGUGCCAGCAGCCGCGGUAAUACGGAGGGGGUUAGCGUUGUUCGGAAUUACUGGGCGUAAAGCGCGCGUAGGCGGAUUA